This 1484-nucleotide long non-coding RNA is filed under the name Homo sapiens (human). Its description in RNAcentral is "HSALNT0335860". The record is from RNAcentral. Lineage: Eukaryota; Metazoa; Chordata; Mammalia; Primates; Hominidae.
AUACUGAAACCGAGUAGGGGAGAAAAGUCCAUUUCAAAAAUCAAUCGAUCAGUAAGAGAAAACAAACAAACAAAAAACAGCCUUUAUUUACUCUACAAGCACCCUUAAGGUCUCAUUGUCCUGAGGUCGUCAAAAUAACCGUUGCUUUGGCAUCAUGGCUGUGCACACCUAACUUGGAAUUACUUAAUUCAUUAUGAUGCUUCCAAAGAAAAUCCUUUUGGUUGAUGAAAGCAGGAGAUAAAGAUAAUAAUGGCAACCAUCGACUGAAGUACUAGGCACUGAAUGAAGUGCCUCAUAUGAACUAUCCACUUAGCUCCUGCAGUAAACCCUUAAUGGCGCUAUUAGUAUCCCCAGUUUAGGGAUAGAGAAGCUAACGCUCAGAGAGAGAAAGUGAUUUGCCCAAAGCCACAGUGUUAGCAGGUGACACAACCAAGAUUCAGACCCAGGUUCUUCGUCUACCCUAACAGUAUUGCCAAAGAGAGAUUCCAAAGUUACCGCCUGGCCACUGGGUAAACCUCCGCAGCAGAGAGACCUACUUUAUGUUUCAUUUUCAAGCUCCUAUGGAGCCCAGCAGAGAGAGCUGACAAGGAGGAAUACUGCGAGGGGCUCACAGACUAAGACAAUCUGCUGGGAAAUUAGGAUUUUCAGAACAUAUGGUGGGCAUACAGAAGUCAGUAAAAAGCAUCAAGGCGUAUACCACCUGCCUCUAAAAUCAUCCAGUUUUCCUAUAUGCCCUGUUGCAACUGCUUAUUAAAACAAGGUUGCUAAAUAAUUCAUUGUUGCUUUUGUUAGAUAAUAAUAACUUAUUUUUUAGGCAUAUUUUAACUUCAGCAAUAAAUCAGGAAAUUAGAAAAUCAACGAGCUUAUGAAUGUUGCCUCCACCAAAACAUCACAACCUCAUUUGACCAAGGCUUAUUUUAAAACCUCUACUUUCAUGACAUGAAAAUCCCUUUAAAAUGUAUGCUAUUGAAACGUUUAAAUUUGAAAAACAUCUGGCAUGUCAAACUAUUUGGGAGCUUGUGGUUUUAAGUACUUUGUUUGAGGUGGUGUAUUUAGAAAGAAUUCACUUGUCAUUCUCAGGCUUCAUAGGGAAGUAGCCCUAAAAAACAAAUGUAUGUGGUAGUUCACUACAACCAUGGAGAAUCAAUAGCCAUCUAUUUAAUUUGCUAAGACAAUGUAAAUUAGUAACUUCCAGCCAGAUGUGUGAUAUGCACAUCAAACAAACUGCAACCUGUUCAUUAUGAAAAUCCUGUCAACACACACUGAGCCACUUGAUGACAUUUCGUCUAAAGCAAUUUCCACAUUUGCAGCUAUAAAAAUUGUCCUAAGAAUUUUUCUACAAGAAAUUGAAGCUGAGACUCAUAAAAGGGUAAUCAAUUUCAGCUUUUCAUCUUGUGUGCUGUGUAUAUAUGCUUCUGUGUGUUUAUUUCCAUUUUCAUUCAGAGGUAUAAAAUGUUUUAACAAUGUGCACCAUGCUCUUUUUC